Phragmites australis (common reed) is the source of this 1325-nucleotide long non-coding RNA. RefSeq lists it as uncharacterized. Lineage: Eukaryota; Viridiplantae; Streptophyta; Magnoliopsida; Poales; Poaceae. The transcript is spliced from 3 exons. The record is from RefSeq and is a predicted model, not a curated record.
AUGGGGAUAUGUACUGUUACCCUCAGUAUGGAUAUGAUGGUCAGAUUUAUGGAUCCCAGGAUUUCCAGUACCCAUACACAUACCACCAACCACAGGCUACUGCCAGUAAGCCGGCAUACAAGGCUAAAACUGGCAAAUCAGCUCCUUCAUUACAAGAUGUUCUGCUGCAACUGCUGCUGAUCAGAAGCCUGUCUUGGUGGAUGCCGCCAAAACGACUUCAAACAACACUGAUGGUGUAAAAGGUAUGAAGAAGGGGACUUUGCCUCUGAAACCAAAUGGGUGUUUGGUUAAUUACCAGAAUCAAGGUAGCAAAGAAGCUUAUCCAUGGUCUGGUGGUCGUACCUCUUCGGAAAAGCAUUUGAAAUCUCUGGUGGCAGUCCUACGUCAACUGGUUCUAAUCGUAAUGACAAGGGCUUGCAUGGGCAGAACUCUCCGAUGGGGCCACCAUCUUCCGGAUUCAUCAGUUCACUAUAAUCUGAUAGUGGAAUGUACAACACAAAUGCUUAUGGACCUAGCUUUUGGUAUGGAUCUCAUAUCUAUGGUCCUGGGCUAUAUGGUGGGUGGAACACAUUGUUGAAUGGAAAGUACAAGCCCAGAGGAAAAACUUAUGGAUCUUAUGGUUUUGGCAAUGAAAACUUGGAUGGCUUGAAUGAGUUGAAGCGAGGACCAAGAAGUGGUCUCUUUAAAAACAACAAGGUUCUGGAGCAGCUGCUGAUGCAAAAGGACAAGAGCUUCCUAUCAGCGAUGACUCUAAUGUUGUUGUGCAGGAUCAGUACAACGUGCUAAUUUUUUUGAAACCUACUCAGAUGCCAAAUUUUUCAUUAUUAAAUCGUAUAGCGAGGAUCAUGUUCACAAGAGCAUCAAGUAUAAUGUUUGGGGGCAAGCAUUCCUAGCAGAAAUAAAAAGCUGGAUGUUGCUUAUCUAGAGGCUAAGGAAAAAUUGAGCAGUUCUCCUGUAGUCCUGCCGUUCUCUGUAAGUUCACUGUCUUAUUGUUAAAAAGUUCAUUUUCCUUCCAUGAACGGGACAAUUCUACAUCGCACUAUCAUGAACUACUGCAAUUAUCAAUCUUAAAAUACUUGCAGCACGCGGGAAGAUGAAGGGGUUGAACUCUGAUGUUCUUGCACCUAGCUGUCUCUUGGAUGUUAUUAUAAAGAAGUUAUUUUCGCUAUAUUUAUGUUGGACAAGAAAUCAAGAGUGGCAUCAUUGUAACGUUGGACCUUAGGCAUUGUAGAGAACUUUUGCUCUAUGAAACUAUGCAUUAUAUUUCACACCAGAUUUGUUCUCUUCGUGUGGGAAGUGAAAUUGAUACCGUGUGUGAGAUAAAG